This 279-nucleotide long non-coding RNA is filed under the name Lathyrus oleraceus (garden pea). RNAcentral's name for it is "Pisum sativum (pea) long non-coding RNA (PSAT_LNC011715)". Lineage: Eukaryota; Viridiplantae; Streptophyta; Magnoliopsida; Fabales; Fabaceae. The record is from RNAcentral.
UCCACUCAAAAUUCUUUUAGGGUUUUUUGUUAUUAUUAAGUGUAUUCAUGGUCAAGGACCAAAUAAGCAAACAAGGUAUACACAAUCAAAAUAAUAUCACAUAAUAUGGUCGAAAUGGACAAAGGGAAAAUUACAUUAACAUAAACAAUUAGAAUGAUAUGUAUAAUGGCAAAUGAUAUAAAGUACUAAAAGUAAAUUGCAUUAAAAGUAAAGACUUGAAAUUAAAAGUUAAUGGUUAGUGAGUUAGUAGUUAGUUUUGUUUUGCUUUUUGAUUUCAAG